GGACAAAGUGGCUCACUAGAGGAAUCCUUGAAUUUUUAUGGCAUAGUUCCACUUCCUGUUUGCUCUCUGCUUUCAAACUAUAAACACAAUGUAACCAGCCAAUUUCUGUUCCUAUAGCCAUGUAUUCUAUGCUUUUAAGAGAAUGUAUUCUUUUAAAGUGUAAACCAAAACAAACCCUUCCUUGACUGCUUCUUACCAGGCAUUUUUGUCACAGGGACAAGAAAAGUAACUAAUAUUGCAGGUGCAUCUAGGCAUAGGUGUUUUUUGCUUGAUGAGUGAAUGCUCUGCAAUAAGCAUGACAGGCACUCAUGAUGAAGGACAUAGGUUUAAUGGGAAUCAGAGUCUUCAUGACAAUGUAGUAUCUUUGGAAGAUCAGAAUAAGCAUUAUUUACUUAGAGGCUGUUGAGAAAACAAGCCAAUUGAAGCAAAGACCACAAGAAUGUAGAUGAUGAUGUAUUUGCAUGUUAUUUUAACCAGGAAGACAGUCAUCACUUGUCCCCAUGCCCUCACUGGGCUUAUGUUUAGACUGUACUACAAAGUACAGAGAAAGUCUAAGGAACUUGAUAAUCAAUCCAGACUCCCACAUUCAAACUGAGGUUUCUGAUUAUGUGUGGUUGCUCUAUUCUGUCCUGUCCCUUUCCACAGAAACAGCAAAGUAUGGUCAUAGGGCCUGGCUGAGAGGAGCAGAAAUCUGUAAGUAAGUCUAAACUACUCCUGUCUUGGCUUGCUAGGUCUAUACUGGAUGAAGACCCUAGAACAGAAGACCUCCCUGAAUAGAAGUUGGGAGAGGAGUCAGUGAGGUUUUUGCCGAGCCCCAAGAAUGGUUGCUCUUCAGGUACUGUAGUUCCCUUGUAAAGGAUGUAAGGACUGUGGAAAAAUCAUGCCAUAUCAUCAAUGACAACUAAGGAAAAUGGCUUAAAUGUUCAGAGCCAUGGUAUUCUUAUAAUAGGAACAUGGUAGGUUCUCUGGCCUAUAAACAGAAUUAAGUCAUUAAAAGUACUCUGAUUUACUCCCUCAAACAGAGUGAUGACUCUAUAAAAUAUUUCUAAGGUGGUGAUAAAAUUGCUCAUAUGUGUGAAGGUUUACAAAGAAAGUAUAUGGGCUCCUCAGAAAAGAAUUCCUACCUUAUUCACAUCAACAUUAUUGUCAUUUCAAAUACUGGAACAUAGCCUGCUGGGGCCUUUGUGGACUAUGUUGUUCCCUAAUGCAGCAUCUCUAACAUCUUGAGACUUUCCAUAAUGGCCUAUUACUCAACAUUCAUGUUUAAACUCAAGUGACACCUCAGAGAUACUGUCCUAGUUUCAUUUCUGUGACUGUGAUGAAGCAUACCGACAUCAAACAACUUAGGCGAGGAAGAGGUUUAUUUCAGGUUACAAAAAUUAGGUUACAGUUCAUCAUUACUGGGGAAGAUGGGGGCAGGAACUUCAAACAACUAGUUAUGUCAUGUAGACAGCGAAGAGCAGAGAGAGAUGAAUGUAUGCGUGCUGGCUUGCUUCCUGGUGCUAAGCUCAACUUCUACCCAUACAUUUAAGUACUUCUGCCUAUGGAAUGGUGAACGGGCUCUUUGCACCUCAAUUAAGUUAUUUAAGACAAUUCUCAUAGAAAUAUCCAUAGGCUAAUCCAACAUAGACAACAACCUUUCAUUGAGGCUAUUUUCCUGGUGUUUUUAGUUAGUGUGAAAUUGACAAUUGCACUCAACCACAACAAAGACCCCAGAUAACUUUUCAAAAAUCAAAUCUCAUCUCUUAAUUUAUCUCUUCAGCAUUGUUCUUUUUAAACUUUUCUUGUAUUUAUCAGCACCAUGGCUGAUGCCUGUGCACCUGCACAGAAUAAGUGCCCCAUAGAUAUUUGUUAAUCUUGAUGGCUGCUUGAUUGGUGAGUUGGGACAGCAUGCCCAAACGAAAAAUAACUCUAGUAGCUUCAGUCAAGAGACACCUGCCAUGUUUCAAGAUAAGGAAAUCUCAAGCAAAUUUCACUCAGAAUGACAACAUUUACUUUACAGAGAAACUCGAUCUCUCUCUUUCUUCUGCCUUUCCUCCUCACCUUCAGAGUAAGGACAAACCAAAAGGAUGGGUGUCUUUGAAUAUUAUACUCAAUUUUUUUUUCGCUUAAGUAAAAUCAAAACUUUGACGGGAAAAACUACACAUUUUAGAUGUAACUUACAUGUACAAAGCCAAAUGAAAUGAACUGUUUCAAAAGAAUUAUGUAUUUAUUUCAUGAAUAUGAGCACACUGUAGCUGUCUUCAGACAAACCAAAAGAGGGCAUCGGAUCCCAUUACAGAUGGUUGUGAGCCACCAUGUGGCUGCUGGGAAUUGAACUCAGGAUUGGUGGAGGAACCUGUGGUCUUAACUGCUGAGCUAUUUCUCCAGUCCCAAUGAACUUUUUUUUCCAAUCAACAACUUACUACUUCUCUUUCUUACUUCUGAUGUGUAAAAUGAAGAAAUUCCUCCAAGUUAUGGGACACUUGUAUUUCUUAUAAUAUGCUUGUAGAAUUUUGUUGGUCCUAAUACUUGAACAAAAUCCAGAAGAUUACUCAGGGGUAUACACAUGUUCUACAGAUGUUUAAACUGUCAUUUAAAGAUUAGAGCGUCAGUCUUUAAACAGUCAGUAAAACAAGGCUUUGUUAAGUAAUAGUCUGAACAGAAAGGAGGUCAUUUCAAGUAUAUCCUUCCUGAUCUGACUGUGUGAAAUUAUUGCUCUAACAUUUACAUGGUGUUUUCAAGUCAAUGCAAUAUACUUUUAAAAAUAUUUAUGUUCUGUCAUUUUAAUUUCAAAUUUCUAUUUUUAUAGGCAAACUACAAGUUUGUAGAAAAAUGUUAUCCCCUUUCUUCCCAGCUAGUCAUGCUGUGAAGCAACCUGUUUCGCUGUUUAAACCUGUGUUUGUUCUGUUUCAAUUGUGCAGAAGGAAACAGUUUUGACACCUUUAAAAAAAAUCAAAGAUCUAUCACUCACCAGGACAGCAUAGCAACUGCACGAAAGGAAAUCAUGAGGGAUAGCAAAAAAGCAACAGGGUUUCUAAAAUGUUAGCAGGUUUACCGAUUACCUGGGGAAUCUUGUAAAAAUUGAGAUUUUCCUGGGUCCCUCUGUCUUUUAUGGAGCCCAGGACUCAGCAUUUCAAAUACUUCAUGGGUGACAAUAUUAGUUCUUGGAGCCUAGAGAUGAUACCGUUCAAGACACAAGAAAUAAAAGUCACCUGAUGGCAUUUAGUAUUUACAAGGGAAGUGACAUCAAACAAGUGCAGUUGCUUUUAGACUUCAGAAACAACUGUAAAUCCUCCAAGUCCCACCAACACAGGGAGCUUAUUUCUCUAUGCCUUGAGUCAGGCUGAUCAGAUGACUAGCUUUGGUCAAGAGAUAGCAACAUCUGCUUGCUGCUGCAUCUGGAAAAGAGCAUAAAUGUAACGAGAUCUCUCUUGCUGUCCUUGGAAGCCUAUAGUCCCAGAGAAGUGUACCUGAGCUCACAUGAUGGAAAAUGAGGCACUGUGGAAAAGAACAGUUACCCCAGCUAUGGCAAAAAAGGUAGCCACAGCUAAUAACAUGCCAACUACCAUCUCUGAGUGAAACCAUCGUGGAUCUUCCUGUCUCUGGCAAACACUUGUGUAAACAGAGCUGACCUCAUUGAACCAGCUAACCUCAACUGUGCACAGAGAUUGGAGUGAAACAUAAUCACUAUUGUUUUAAGGAUCCCACAUUUGGAUGUUUUUGUUUCUUGUUGUUUAAAGAAUCAGUAAAUCCUUGUGCUUAUGAUUCCAUUUUCUUUUUGCCUUCAAUCUCUAUUUUCUGUUUUACUCUUAAAUAAUGGCAGUUGAUAUAAGUAAUUAUUAUAAUGGCAUUUGAUCCCUUUUUAAAUGCCAUAAUUAAGUUGCUUUUUCUCCUAUUUUACAACCUUGAAGAUGUAGACAACCUUGUUAAAUAGUAGGACAGUUUCUCCUUCAUAGAAAGAGGAAUCUCAAAAUUUCUUUUCAGUAAGCAAUAGAUGUUUCAAAUUCUUCUUGCCAACAGGAUAAAUAUAGCAUUUUCUUUUGAAGGACAUGUCUAACCAUUACCUUGUUUCAUAUUUGAGAAAGUAGAAUAAGGUCUAUCCAUAAAGGGACAAUCUUAGGCAGGGAAGACACAUCAGUGACACUCUUGGGGAAGAAUACACACAGCACCGUUCUGUCACUAACAGAUUCCUUUCUUGGCCAACAGUGUGGCUACAAGGCUUCUUUGUGCUGGUUUAUCCAAUUAGACAUCUCUUACAGGGCUGGUGACCCUUGACCAUCUGGAUUUGUUCCUAAACCUAUCAGGCUGAAGUAUAUUUUUUCUUUCAUACUUUGCCCCAUGAAAUAAUAUUAAUAAAAUUUCAAUAGUUGUGCUUACUUGUGAGAGGACCCUUGCUAUAAGCAGUUUUACAAUAAUUAAACUCUCCCUCAUUUAGCUUUCACUUCCUCCUCUUCUUCAAGUUUGAGAAUUAUCAAUUUAAAGAAAGGCUCUACUUUAGGGGCAGGGGUUGUGUUUCAUGCUGAAAACUGAAUAAACCCUAGCUUAAUAGAAGAAAAGUUUGUUUUAAGAAUAACUUUUGAGAAACAGGGCUUGAGAGAUGACUCUGUGGUUAAGUAGUUAUUGCUUGUUUUCUAGAGGACCUGGGUUUGGUUCCAAGUAAUAUCAAGUUACUCACAGCUAUGUGUAAAUUCAGCUCUAGGGGAUCUCAUGUCCCUUUAUGGCCUCGGAAGGAACUCAAUGACAAAUGGCAUAGACACAUACUCAUAUUGAUAUAUCCAUAUGCACAUAAGUAAAAAUAAAUCUUAAAAACCAUCUUGGGUUGGAUAGUUGAUUUAGUUGUUAUGAACACUUAUUGUUGCAAAGGACCAGGACUCAGUUCCCAGCAUCCCUAUGGAGGUUCACUACGUCCUUGGGCACCAGGCACAUAUUGUGAUACAAAUAUGUACACACAGGCAAAAUAUUCACAAACAUAAAAUAGUAAAAAUAAAUCUAAAAAACCACUUUAAAAAAACAACCGAUGGAAGCAGAUAAAGGGGAGAAGGCUUUAUUUUGUGGUCACUGUGCAUCUCUAUGCUACUAACUGAACUGUGAGUUCUGAUGGGUACCAGUCUCAUUUAACCUUUCUCACUGGAGAUUUAUUUAUAUCCUCAGCAAUAUAAUCCACAAGCACUUUGCGGGGACUCCCUCAUCUGCAGCUCCCUUUAUAACACACAUCCAGAUCUUCAGCUGCUCACUCUUAGCAAUCAUACCUCCAUUGCCUUUUUUCAAGAUACUCAUGUUUAUUAAAAUUAUCUUACCUUACUUCUCAUGGGGAAAAUGCCACUUGAAAAACCCUCAUCUCCAAUGCAGAACAAUCAUUGCAUUUGCCCUGCCCUGCUUCAAUGUUAAUUCAUUCUGACCAAUGUAUUGCCUUAUUGAAACAGAUAGUGUGGCCUCCAACUGCCCUCCUGGCUUCCUGUAGCCUUUUCUUGUUCUUCAUGUUCAUGAACAUCAUCAGAAAUACAUUUCUUGCACUUACAUUUCAGAACUCAAAUGUCAGACUAAAAGUCUGCUCAACCAAGCUCUAAAUCCAGUCUUACGGCUUCUUGCUCUCUUUGCCUUCUGUGUCUAUAGGACUCAUACUCAGUGCAUCCUAGCAGAGGCCACAGUUUUCUCUACUUAUUCUACUAACUGGAAUUAAUCUUGUCUCCUGACUAACCCAGGUAAUGCAUCCCUUCCCCCUUUCUCUCUGUAUCUCUGAGCACCCCCCACUCUGUGUGUAUGUGUGUGUGUGUGUGUGUGUGUCUUUGUGUCUGUGUGUCUCUGUGUCUGUGUGCUAUGUUUGUUUCUGUGUGUGUGUGUAGGUACGCAUAUGUCAAAUGGUUCUGUAUAGAUGGAGGACAAUUUCCAUGUGUUGGGCCAUGUUCUUUUUCCACCUGGACUGUGACAGGGUGUCUUAGCUGAGACUGAGCAUGCCAGGCUAACUAGCCUAUGAGCUUCUGAAAGUUCUCUUGUGUCUGCCUCCCAUCUCCCUGUAGGGACACACUGGGAUUAUAGAUGCUUUUAAUGCUAUGACUGACUUUAAAAUGAAUUCUUGUGAUCCAGACUCAGGAUAUUAGGAAGGCAUAGCAAGCAAAGUUUUACCCAGUCACAUUUUUUAUCCAUAUUCUCGGACCCUCUUUUUUCCCUUGAGUUUCUCUACCUGAUCGCAUUCAACUAGUUAGAUUUCUCCAAGUACAGCCAUAGUUUAUUCCCCUCUCAUUAUAUAGACCACACAGUUUUGUUUGGACAGCCCCUUUCAGGUUCAAGGAGCAUUGAAAGUAGGGGCCAAAUUUCACUUACUGCAUAUUCUCAACUGAUCCUAAACCUAAAACAGACUAACAAAAACAAAUAAUGGCAGCAAAAAUAUUGUGAUAAAUAAUUAAAAGGCAUUCCUGGUCGAAGACUAAGAAGUCAUUCCUAAGAAUUGGGGUCAUUUGAAGGAGGAUAUAAAUUAAUCUGAAUGUGCUGGAAUUCCACAUAGGGCUCAUGGAAUGGAUGGGGGCAGGGAAUUCCAUACAAAGUAGAUAUGUGAAAGGAAUCCAUGCAGAGGACAUAAAACAGUGUGAAUCCAGCUUGAAGAAAAGGCUAGGCCUUCCUGUGUUAAUAUUUAUUCCUAUCUUUCAAUGUAGUAUGAUUAGUUUUCUAUAUUGACUUCAGGGUCCAUUGGAAUGUUGAUUAGAUAAAUAAUCAAAUCACUUAAUAAACUCAACCAGAGUGGCUGUGAACCAGUAAGUAUGAUAUACUUCUUUAAGCAAGAUUCAGGAACAUUACCAAUAUUGCAUGGUAAUCCAUAUGCCAUGUAUGUAGGGUUCCUCAUGUCUUGUCUUUUAUGUGUUCAGGUAGAAGGUAGAGGGUCUUAAAAUAAUAGGUUUGUCUCUGAGGAAGUUUUAUUUUGUUUUACAUUUAGUUAUGUGUGUGUGUGUGUGUGUGUGUGUGUGUGUGUGUGUGUGUGUGUGUGUGAGAGAGAGAGAGAGAGAGAGAGAGAGAGAGAGAGAGAGAGAGAGAGAAAGAGAGAGAACCUGCUUAGGUAUCAUGGCAGUCCCCUCUUAGCAUAUUUUAAGUAUCACUGGAUUAAUAUGUUGUUCAUCAACGACAUGUUUAUAAAAAUAUCUUGGCUGCCUUGUUUAUAAGAGGCAGGACAAUCAUAUGGAAAAUCCAACUUUCUUUCUGCAGUGAGACUUCCUUUGCUUGGGUUGAUUGAAAAACAGUGUCAGAAUGGAUUUCCUGCAGUCAAGAACACACAUGGAGAGAGUUUGGUCACUGCCUGCCCAGCUUCAUGGAAAAGGGACCAUCGUGUGUUUUCAUGUGUAGUGUGCAGGGGUUUCCCAACAAGCAGAGAAAGAGCUGUGGGGAUGAAACAUACACAACCUUCUAGAAAUAUAUUUGAAGCAUACAGUGAAAAUGUUUUCAAAGGUCUUCAUCCUUUGAACAUCAAUUGUCUUUCUAGAGUAAAAGUGUGAAGUCAUAUUUCCUAGGGUGUGCAAGAGCUAUACAUAUGAUUAGAUUUAUCAAGAUAUUUCAUGAGGCUUUACAAACAGUAAUGACCUAAGCACUGAACAAGAGGGGACAAAUCCAAAGGCAAUGCAUCCUCCAAACACAAUGGUUCAUUUCUGGCUUGUUCAUGUUAAUUGCUUUUAUUGUCACUAUUAAUUAUGUUUCUUUUAGUUUGAAUUUUCUAUUUUUCUAUAAACAUCUCCAUUAGAAACAUACAUGAGACAUAAUAACUUUGGAUAGUGCUAAGAAACUGACAAACAUUAGCAAACAUUAGUAAUGUCAUAAACUUUUCUAGAAAGAUGGCUCUUUAGUUCCUUUGCCGAUCUUCCCCUCAUGUAUUCCCGUUGUCCUGUUCCUUUCAUGAUUAGAGGGCCGAAGAUACAAGAUAGAGUGCUGUCUCUUAGAACAGUCUCCACAGAGUCAAAGUCUUUUGUCAGAUGUCAGGACAUCAUCAUGGCUUAAAGAAGAAUGGUAAAGGUAAGGUAAGACCAGCCAAAGGCCCUAGGAAUGCUCAGUGUCUUUCCUAAACUGAUUAUAGAACCAAGCCUUACUAGGAAGACCUCUCUCUGCUGGAACCUGUAGUAGACAUAGACCCUCUACUUCAUGGUCUUAAAAGUCAGUGAGAGAGACAAAAUGCAGUUGAGUCAGUUUAUCCUGUUGACUAAACUCUAUCACCAAGGUUGAAUCACAACUUAACAUUUAUGUCCCAUCCAUUCUUCAGCUACAAAUUAAGGAGGCCUGGGAUUCCAUUUCUGCCUAGAACUGGACAGUUCUCCCAUAUAAAGCUUCUCAAAAAUUUCAUUUUGUUGGUCUUAAUUUUGUUUGUUUUAUUAUUCCUCCUCCCCUUCCUCUCCUUCUCUUACUCCUUCACCUCUUCCUCUUCCCUUUCUUCUUUCUCUUCCUCCUCUUCCUCCUCUCUCCAUUACAAUUUGAUGUAUUGCAUCUCUCAUGUGGCCUUGAAUUGGAUACAUAGCCAAGGAUGACCUUGAAAUCCCAAUCUUUCCAUCUUUACAGUUACAGGUUGGUACUACCACAUCUAGUUUAUGUGAUUUGUGGGACAGAAGCCAGGUCUACAUUCACACACUGGAAGCAAAAUACAAAUGGAGAUACAUCCUCAGGCCUGCUUCUUUUUUAAUGAAAUUAUUUAAUUAUCUAAGUUUUAUUGGUAAGUGCGAAGAUUGAGGAAAGUCUCAAGACUGCAUUUCUAAGAAGCUGUGAGGUUGCUUGGUCCAGCUCAUUUUAUUGAGUCACAAAGUUUUAGCAUGCAUGAUCUAACUAAACUCUCCCAAGUAUCCUUUCAGGUAGCCAGCCUUGACCUAUUUGACAGACAAUGGGAAUGGCACAUGCAGAGUCAAACUAAGAAGAAAAAAUAAUUCGGGCAUGGAGGCUUAUGCCUAAAAUUCCAGCACUAGGGAAGUAUAAACAGGUCACAAGUUUUAGAUCAUCCUGGGCUUCAGAAGAAGUUCAAAUUUAACAUGAGGAAACCUUCUCUCAAAAAUCAAAAAAAAAACAAAAACAAAAACAGAAACAAAACAAAAGACAAAAACAAAUACAAAAACCUAAUGACAAAACAAACAACAGAAACCCUAACUUAGUGAUUUUGAGUCUUGAUUUCAAGAUGUUUAACCAAUCCUUGCAGUUCUGAAACGUCAUAUUAGAAAUGGUUGCCACACUCAUAUAGAAUGAAUAGGAUUAAAAAAUUAGUAAAAGUAAACAAUUAAUAGAGCAUAUUAAUAGAUAGAGUGAUGGGUCAUUUCAUAUUGGAUAGGGUAGAAUGGGGGUCAGUUAUCCUAGCUAUUUGAGCUUCAUGUUGAAGGUUAGAAUAGACGUCUCCCCUAGACAGACAAAGCAUAAAAUAAAAGGUUCAUCUAACAUGUCAAGACCAAGUACAUAAGUCAUCAUAGAAAGGACCCAUAAAUAGGCUCAAAAGGAAAGGACACUCAUAUUUACUUAGUUUACCACUAUUAUUCCCUUCAUUCAUUGAGCACAAGGGGGACUUCUUUAUUACUAUUUGCACUGCUGCCUUUUUUCAGGAGGGACACGCAGCUUGAUCAGAAGGGAUCCUUCCCUUUCUUAUUUGUUUCUACUAACUAGACCUCCUGAGCAAAGUCUGAGGGUCCUCACCCCUGGGCUCCACAGGCAUCUGUGGUGGCACUCCACAUAAAGUGCCAUCUGUGUGGUGCGUGCCCAGAGGAACAAAGAGGUUAAUUCUCUUCUUUUGAAACUGUGACUCCCAUCCUCCCCCAGUUUCUCUAAGUGUUUCCUUUUAAAGAAAAGCCAUGGUUCACUGCUACUGAAAAUUAAAGACAACAGCAUAAAGAUCAAGGUCCAGGCUGGUACCAGCAAUGACAGAACAUUAAAAUCGUUACUUGAGGUUUUUUUUCCUUAAAAACUGACAAAGACUAUUGAAGAAAAGACAUCUAUAGCAUGGGUUAAUUUCAUAAAUGUGUGUGUGUGUGUGUGUGUGUGUGUGUGUGUGUGUGUGUGUGUGUGUGUCUGUUGCUCACCAGCAUUGGUAUAUGGAGAGAUCAAGGGUUGAUAUUGCGGUAUCAUCUUCCAUCACUUCUGUUCUCUUCCAUAUUCUUCAAAACAGCAUGUCUCAUUGAACCUCACUGUUUAAUCUAGACUGCAGGAAGCCUUCUGGAUCCUUGUGUUUCUACUGUCAGUGAUAGGAUUAUAGUACAGGUGACCACAUCUGUCCCUUAUAUAGGUACUGGGGAUCUGAAUUCAGGUCUUCAAGCUUGCCUCCAAGCACUUUACCCAUCUCCACAGUCCAUUUCAGAAUCUCUCUAGUUUUGUCUCUGCCUUCACAGAUUCUUUAGGCCGAAAUGGACAAAUUGGAGGUGACCUUCAGUUUAGAUGAAAUGAGUGGAGUGGCAGUAAUGGCUUCCUCCAUCCCACAUCACAUGGAGUACCAAGAAAUCAUGAGAGAGUUAUUUUUUGUUUGUUUGUUUGUUUUUUAGGUAAAGUUUACUUUAUAAGGUCGAAGAGAGAAGGAAUAGCCAAGUAGCCCAUCCUUCUCUACAGAUUAUACUUCUUGAUUCUCUAAGUAUAUGAGGUUCCCUCCCUUCAACCUCUCUUCAGUUACAGAUUUGCUUGGCAAACAGAAUCGUAACCUGCACACCCUGGAAUUCCUUCUGAUUUGCUGAAAUUGUGUUUUCAAUACUUAGCUUUUCUGACACCAGACUAGGGGGACAGGCCUCCACUCCUAACCUCAUGUUAGCUUGCUAUUUUCUGGUGGUUCCCUUGAUGAAUAUCCAGCUUCUAGAAUUGACUGCAUAUUACCUCAAUAAGAUGGACUCAAUCUCCUACCCUAUACAAACAUGAUAUUAGUAGGUUUCUCAAGACAUGUAGAACACUGCUCUUCCGACAAUGAAGAAGACAUGGGUAGGAUAAAUCUGUGCUUACCACCGAAGAAAACUUGAUGAAGAACAUGGUGGCCACUGUAUUGCUUGAUAAAUGAAGCUUUCUCUCAAGACGAGCAAAGGAAAAAAAACCAAGAAAAUAACUGAAGGCAAGUAUAUUCCUCCCUUAUAUCAAUAUCUUGGACUCUUAGAAGCAUGGAAUGAAAAUUUGUGAAAAAACAGCCAUAUCAACUUGCCGUGGUGACUCAAAAGUUGUCGUUUCUCAACUCAACUUUGCUGAAACACUUGAUUCAUGUUGUUCUUAUUUAACCUAAUUUGCAUUGAUUUAAUCAGUGCUGGUAUGCUUUAAAUACAUAAUAAAUUGGAAUUCUGCAACUCAGAAGACUUAGAAUAGCUAAAUUUCAAUAAAGCUCAUUUCAAUCUGUUAAUGUAUACAGCUCUGCCAAGGGAUUUAAGAGGAUAGAAAAGAUGCAACUUGCCACAUUAGAGGUGAGAAGGGCUUAAAGAUACCAUGCAGACAAAAUGAUUUGCAGGAUAACAACAUGAAAUAUAUAUUAUAUAUAUUUAUAUAUAAAAAUAUACAUGGUCAUAAUUACAAGCUAGGAUCUUCUUCUACACUUUGAGUGGCAUACUUAGAAGAAAACUCACAUAUAAAUGCAGUAUGUUUAAUUUUAUUCUCUUUCUUUUUUUGCCAACACUCAACUCUUCUCUGCCUCUCUGUACCAGCUCUACAAAUCAAGUGACAUCCAAAGUAGGACCUCUUCUUGCCCAUUUGGCAGCCUCUCUCAUCCUUCUGCCAAGCUGCAUGCAUUAUAAGGAUUUUCUUCCUAGCAGCCAUGGGUAUUGGGUGCCUUAUGCUCAAAGUACUUGCUGAAUGGCUGGCCACUGUUUACCCCUGCCUAAGCCUGCCCAGCCUUGCUCCUCCAACCCUUUAGAGUUUAUGGCUCAAUCAGUCGGCAUGCUGUCAGGAAUAAUUGUUUUGGCAAGGGGUAAAACCACUUGAUGAUGAAAUUGUUUCUCUGUCUGUUAAAGUGUUCUGCAGCAACGCAGUAGUGCCAAGUGCCCAGUCCAGGGCUCGGUUGGAGGGAGGGUGAGGAGAGCUGACCAUCCAGACUGGCAAAGAAAGAACACAGCUCUGUGGCAGAACAACAAAGAUCUAUCUGUGUUCGUAAGGUGUAUGACCUUGAGUAAUCCCCAGAUGUCUCUGGCCUCAGUUUCGUCAUGUGCAAAAUGGAGAAGGUUGAUUUUCUCAUGUCUCCUGUAGCUCCGAAGACAGCAUGUGAUGUCUAGGACAUUUCAGAUUUGUGUUCUUUUCAAUUAAAUGAUGAAUCUUGGAGAUGAAUGACCAGGGCAGAGCUCAGAGGAAUACAGAAUGGGAUGAUUCAUAGGACUUUUCCUGAAAAGUGCCACCUCUCUUUGGUGACCUUAAUUCUACCAAUAUGUCUUUUCAACUUCGUUGUUAAGGGCCAGUCUAGUGGCUUGACCAAUAAACUCAACCUGUGAGAUCGUCCAGCUACAUCCAUCCUUCCUAGCAACAUAGUAGUGACAGAUAGCACCCACUUACUUGGAGUUUAUUAGAAGCAGAAAUGAUACAAAUAUGAGGACACUAGUCCACUUCAAUGUAUGACUCCUCCUGACACUGGCUGACUUAGCCAUCUUUGAAGAUUUUGAUUUUUAAAAAAUAGAUGACCAAUAGUUCUGUGGCAAUAGGGUAGAUCUGUUAUGGUUGUGACUGGAGGGGUACUUAUUCAUUAUAUGGACUACUGUCUAUAAAGGACUGAGAGUAGAAAAUCCAGCAGGGGCUUUCCCUGGUUUUCACAAGAAAAGUAGCAUUAUUCUCUGUAGUAGCAAAACUGAAUUAAGGAUGAGUGGAUGAGAAAAAGCCUUCCUUUUCCUUUAAAAUACUUCUCUACACGUUUUCUAGUACAUUCUCCAGGGUUUAGAUGUAAUUACCAUGAGCAGCACAUGUCAAUGUUAGGCUCUCUCUUGUCAUACAACAGCAUCUUUAUCCUUGAAGGCGGUUUGCUCCAUGGAAAGGGUGUACACUAGGUGAGCCCCAGUAGGCUCUUCAGCAGUCUCUGUGUACACAGACUGAAUUUGCCAUACUGCAACCCUCUCACACCAUCAGGACUCAGAUGGCUUUUCCUACACAGUGGGCUUUUAAAGCAUUCUCUCAGCAAACCCUGAAAAUGGCCAGCUCCCUGUAGAAGGGUAGUUAGUGUUAAUGCUAGCAAAUGAGAGGAGAGAAGAGAGGAGAAGAGAGGAGAGGAGAGGAGAGGAGAGGAGAGGAGAGGAGAGGAGAGGAGAGGAGAGGAGACUGAGACUGACAGAAGCAACCCCCAAAUCCCUGCUUUCUUGUGUCUCCUCUCAAGUUGCUUUUGGAAAGCAAAGAAACAAAUGUUGAUUGCUGUACAGAGUCCUACGUAUCUGUUACACGUAGGCAGUUUAACAGAGGGGGAUAUAUUCCCAAGGAAAGGUUGGUGGUGCAGGGGGGGGGGCGAAUAUGUUGCUCCCUCAUUUAGAUAUAUCUUGUCAUUGAUGAUGUUUCUUACCCCACCCCCUCUUCCUUUUUUUCCCACCCGCAAAUAUAUACAAAAAAAAAAAGAGCUGAGAGUGUUUUUCAUUUCAUCAAAGAACAUAUAUUACUUUAGCGGCUUGGUUAAAAAAAAUGUUGGUUUUCUGCCCACCCCUUUUCAAUCUGCCGGUGUUGGAGGUGCUCGGAGAAGACGCACAAUCGCGAGCAGCUUACGACACUCAGUGAGCAGUCGGUGCCGGUGCAGGCUCGCACACACUCCUCAGAGGAGGGAAGGAGCCGGGCGCUGCUCUGCGCUCCGCAAAGCAAAGCAUGAGCCGGCCAGGUUUCCGCAGCUGCCCGGGACACGAAUGGCAGGCGUUUUCCAACUGGGACUCCAAGGUGGCUGCGAUUCGCGGUGGUCAUUGCCGAUGACAUUCUCCAGACUGUCAAAUCCUGGGGAGUCUCGAGCCCCGAGUUUGGAGUUGAUUUUUUCCCUCAACCCCCCAACCACGUCACAGUCUCAACUGCAGAGGAAAAAAAAAGGGGGGACCGAGGCAGGAAGGCGAGAAGCCCGGGCUCCCGGCACGUAGUUGGGAAACUUGCGGGUCCUAGAAGUCGCCUCCUCGCCUCGCCGACCGCCCCUGCAGCCCCGGAGCGCAGCAGCAAAGUGAGACAUUGUGCGUCUGCCAGAUCCUCGGGCCGCGGAGCAGGGCUGCCUCGGGAAACACAGAGGGGUCUUCUCUCGCCCUGCAUAUAAUUAGCCUACACACAAAGGGAGCAGCUGAAUGGAGGUUGUCACUCGCUGGAAAAGGAUUUCUGACCCAGCGCUUCCAAUGGACAUUCUCCAGUCUCUCUGGAAAGAUUCUCGCUAAUGGAUUUCCUGCUACUCGGCCUCUGUCUACACUGGCUGCUGAGGAGGCCCUCGGGGGUGGUCUUGUGUCUGCUGGGGGCCUGCUUUCAGAUGCUGCCCGCCGCCCCCAGCGGAUGCCCGGGGCAGUGUCGGUGCGAGGGGCGGCUGCUGUACUGCGAGGCGCUCAACCUGACCGAGGCGCCCCACAACCUGUCCGGCCUGCUGGGCUUGUCUUUGCGCUACAACAGCCUCUCGGAGCUGCGCGCUGGCCAGUUCACAGGGUUAAUGCAGCUCACGUGGCUGUAUUUGGAUCACAAUCACAUCUGCUCGGUGCAGGGGGACGCCUUUCAGAAACUGCGCCGAGUUAAGGAACUCACACUGAGUUCCAACCAGAUCACCGAACUGGCCAACACCACCUUUCGGCCCAUGCCCAACCUGCGCAGCGUGGACCUGUCCUACAACAAGCUGCAGGCGCUAGCUCCGGAUCUCUUCCACGGGCUGCGGAAGCUCACCACCCUGCACAUGCGGGCCAAUGCCAUUCAAUUCGUGCCGGUGCGCAUCUUUCAGGACUGCCGCAGCCUCAAGUUUCUCGACAUUGGAUACAAUCAGCUCAAGAGUCUGGCGCGCAACUCUUUCGCCGGCUUGUUCAAGCUCACAGAGCUACACCUGGAGCAUAACGACUUGAUCAAGGUGAACUUCGCCCAUUUCCCGCGCCUCAUCUCCCUGAACUCGCUCUGCCUGAGGCGGAAUAAGGUUGCCAUUGUGGUCAGCUCUCUUGACUGGGUUUGGAAUUUGGAGAAAAUGGACUUGUCUGGGAACGAGAUCGAAUACAUGGAGCCCCAUGUGUUCGAGACCGUGCCGUACCUGCAGUCCCUACAGCUGGACUCCAACCGCCUCACCUACAUUGAGCCCCGUAUCCUCAACUCCUGGAAGUCCCUUACGAGCAUCACUCUAGCCGGGAACCUGUGGGACUGCGGGCGCAACGUGUGUGCCCUGGCUUCCUGGCUCAGCAACUUCCAGGGACGUUACGAUGCUAACUUGCAGUGCGCCAGCCCGGAGUACGCACAGGGCGAGGACGUCUUGGAUGCAGUUUAUGCUUUCCACUUGUGUGAGGAUGGGGCCGAGCCCACCAGCGGCCACCUCCUGUCGGCGGCCGUCACUAACCGCAGUGACCUAGCGCCCCCUGAGAGCUCAGCCACGACUCUGGUGGACGGUGGGGAGGGGCUGCACGAUAGCACGCUUGAACCCAUCACCGUGGCUAUCCCCGGCGGUGAGCACGCAGAGAACGCAGUGCAAAUCCACAAGGUGGUCACGGGCACGAUGGCCCUCAUCUUCUCCUUCCUCAUCGUGGUCCUCGUACUUUAUGUAUCCUGGAAGUGUUUCCCAGCCAGCCUCAGGCAGCUCAGACAGUGCUUUGUCACGCAGCGCAGGAAGCAGAAGCAGAAACAGACCAUGCAUCAGAUGGCUGCUAUGUCUGCCCAGGAAUAUUAUGUUGAUUACAAACCCAACCACAUCGAGGGGGCCCUGGUUAUCAUCAACGAGUACGGCUCGUGUACCUGUCACCAGCAGCCUGCGAGGGAAUGUGAGGUGUGAUUGUCCAAGAGGCUCCCUACCCAUGCACUACCAAAUACGCCUGGGCAGCCAGGCGGGCCAGCGGGCACCAGGACUGGUUUCCUCUGCGCUCUGAUUUGUUGACUGAAACUGUAAGGGGAUCUCUCCCAGAGACUUGACAUUUUAGCUUUAUGUGUCUUAAAAACAAACAAACAAACAAAAUCCCGAAAUAAAACACAACAAAAAACCCCACCCCAUAAUCUUCAGGACAGUCUGUCUUAAAUUUCAUAUGAGAACUUCUUCCUCCCUUUGAAGAUAUGUCCAUAUUCAGGAAUCUGAGAGUGUUAAAAAAGUUCUGUCAACAGAUUCCAUAUCCACCCAUCCUCUGCACACCUCUCCUCGAGCAGCAUAUACCUGUUUCAUCUCCUGUGAGCUUAAAGACUUCUGGAGGAAGGUGGGAGCAGAAAUUUCAUUUGGCUCAAUGGUUAUCAUGUUUUACCAUCAAAAGUGCAUGUGUUUGCUUCAAGUCUUGACAAUUACUGUGGUAUUGUAUCUGCCAGGCUGUGUGACUGUAUUUCUGGACUGCACAGCCAAGCAGUUCUGAUCUCCAGCAAAAGCCAGCCACACAUAGCACAGCGAGCUGCCCACAUGUUUCUGCAGAACUGCUAACCCACAAGAACUGCAAUAAAAAGAGAUAAGGGGAAUGGAAAGAUGUGCUUUUGUUUUGAUUUUGUACUCAAAUAAGCUCUUCGAAGAGAAUAAAAGAAGAAAAAGAAAGAAGAAAAAGAAGAAGAAAAGAAAAGAAAAAGAAAGAAAGAAAUGAAUCGUUCUCCAAGCUGGUGCCCUGCCAAACUUCCUCCCCUCCCUUCCUUGUCCAAGCACUCCACCGUCUGUGCAGACUGUAUAACAGCAAGUUCUGCAAACAGCCUGAGGAAUCUGGGCCAGACCAGAGCCGUGCUAUCUUAGUAUAUGUUCGAUGGGGCUUUGAAGAUUUUGGUUUUUACCUUAAUGUUUUAUCGACUGCCAGAUCUUGGAAGCACAUCUGUUAUCACCAGUUUCUGUUUGUAAAAUGAGACUAAAGGUACUAUCCCCAGAGAAAUUCUGGUAUCUUCUCUGUACUUCAGUGCUUCCACUAACAGCUUGCCUCAUAAAACACAACUGUGAUAAAUAUUAAAGAAUGUUAAUAAAAAUGAGAUAAAAUGCCAAGGGAUCAUUUUUUUGCCCCCUACUAUUUUGCCCCCUUUUAAGCAGUGAUUUGUCAGAAAACUGGUUACUGUGAUCAAUGUGAUGUCCCGAAGCAGCUUUCUAAGAACAGACAUAGACUUGCCAUGGUCACUAUGAGCUUUCAAUCCCGUGAUGAGGAAGGGUGUAUUGCUGUUGUUUCUCCCACCUUUGGGAAAAUGUUCCUUCUAUGGGACACUCAACAAAGGGAGAAAACCAGGUUGUGAUAUUUUUUCCUCUUAAAACAUAAACAGGGACUACAGAGAGAAGAUGCUUCCAGUUCUGAAUUGGACCCUGAGAUGGUAAUUAACUGCUUAACUAAGAAAACAAUUACUUAGGCCCAUUUAUCUGUGCCCUCAAAUGCAGUGGUCACUAGAUAAAUAGAGUAGCUUUACAGUGCACUGAACUCUAAGCUGAUUCAUACCGAUUCUUUCAUGCUUCUCAAGUAGGGCAAGUUAAACACGCAUUUGUGUGCUUUCUUUGUCAUGUUUGCAUGACCAUUGCCUUCGGGGCCAUAAGGAAUCAAAGAUUAUUUGACUUUGAAACACAAAAUGUCUAGAGAUCUGUACACAAGUUGUGUGGAUUAGAACAAACAACUCCAAAAUCUGUUACUUUAGAAUGGUUCACUAUUUCCGUUUUGGAAGUAGACUUAAAAUUACUGCAUUUUGCAUAUUCUAACAACACACUAGCAUUUAAUUAGUAUCAUGAGUAUUCACACCAAAAUUUUUGACAUCAUCCUCAUAUCUGUUACCAAACUUAACUGACCACAAACUUGUUUUAAUUAUAUACAGUAAAUGUUGUUUCAAUGUUAUUUAUAACAGAAUGAUACUUAGUGUAUGGACCUUACUAGAUGGAAUUUUAUAUUUUGUUUAUAAUUAUGUUGGAUUAAAGUUGUUUAAAAGUCCAUGAACCUAUUAUGGGUCAGUUCAAGAAUUUCUAAACAACCAAGUGCCUGUUAUUUCUACCACUCUCCUCAUGUUCACACCUUUUAUGUAAUCUCUUCUAUUUUAUAUUCAUUCAAAUUUUCAUGAUGACUCAACGUUUACUGAAGUUCUAAAACUACCUUUAAUGGCUUUCCCAAGACUCGUGUUUACUGUGGUCCUGUCUCUCACCAGGAGAAAGUGUUAAAACAGUUACAACCCUUAGCAGCCACUAAUUUAGAGUGCACCAGGACAUCUUUCCAUGUUGUGUACACGAUGCCAUUACUUCACUCAUGUAUUAUGAAUAAGUAUAUAUGUACAAUAUAAACGCAUAUACUGUGUGCAUGUGUUCAUGUAUAUGUGUCCGUGUGUGUGUGUGUGUGUGUGUGUGUGUGUGUGUGUGUGCAUGUACACAUCAAAGGUCAAUACGAUUCAGCAGCUGUCGUCCUCUGUUGAUUUUUCCUCUUAGUUUUGAGAUAGAGUCUUUUACUCAACCUGAUUUAGAUGGACUGGCUGGCCAGAAAACGCUUGUGAUCCUACUGUCUUUAUUUCCCCAGUUCUGGGAUUUCAGAAAUGUAACAUCAUGCUUGCAGCUCAGGAAGAUCAAACUCAUGUACAAAUGCUUCUCUGCCAAGCACUUUCCUGACUGAGCCACCCUCACCCUGUGUGUGUGUGUGGGGGGUGUGUGUGUGUUGUAUAUUUAAUUAAAAUACGUAUAUUGGUAUCUUGCCUGUGUGUAUAUGUUUGUAUACAAUGCAUAUAUUUUAUACCCACAGAGGCCAGAAGAAGGUAUUGGAUACUUAGUGCCUGGAGUUACAGAUGGCUGUGAGCCUCCAUGUGGAUGUUGGUGAUCAAAUGAGGGUCCUCUGGAAGACCCUGAGUUAACAGUAGCAAAUAAGAGCAGCCAGUCCUUUGAACUGCUUAGACACCUUUCUAGCCCUUCAUGUUGAUAUAUUUUAUGUCACAUUAUAUACUCAUGGUCAAUGGACAAAUCAACUUUAUCAAUUCAGUUCAGUUAGUCUCUAGGUGCCAUAGGUGCUACAAAUAGAGAAAGAGUGGCCUUGCUUUCAAAGGCUUAGAGAACAAUAGGACAGUAUAAGGUUCAUACAUGCAAUGGAAACCCAAGGUGGAGAAGAAUUCGUUAUCUCUCCCAGGCACUAUUCUAUAUACGUAGUUAUUCUAAAGACAGUAAAGACAGAGGAUUUUUCUUAGCUCAUGAAAUGGAUGGGAAGUUGAAGAGGAUUGAGAAACAAGAUGUCCAGAGGUAGGUAUGAUGUGACAUGUAAAAUGGAAAUAGAAUGUUUCUCAAAAGAAUAAUUCACAAUGUACAAUGACGUGAAGGCAGGCAAAAGAAUGGGAAGCCCCAGCCAAGCAUACCAGCGAGGUGUACAACAGUGUGGGAUGACUUGAUUUUUCAUAAGUAGAUACUUAAUCAGCAGGACAAUCUCGAAGCUAAUUUUGCUCCCUUUCUCUAAUAUAUCCCACAUCUGUAACUCAUGCUGCUACAGAGAAAACAACUAAUCACUCCUAUACUCUCUCCCUGCAUUCAAACUCAGAAUGAAAACAGGAGCCCUGAGGUAUCCCACAUGGAAAGAAGGAACUACUGGAAGGUGUUGCUACAUCAUCUAGAACAAAUGAUUUGAAGAAGGUCUUCUGAAAUCAAGAGACUGUUGUGGAAACAUAGGGAAUUUUGAAGUUGCAAACAGGGCCCACCAUGAGAUAUGAGGUCUCCUAAAGAUGCUGAUCUCAAGUAUCCAUUAAAAAAAUCAUCUAGUGCCCAAACAUAGCUUGCAACAUCAAAUCUUUUUGACUUUAGGAGAUCGUGAAGACACAGGGAAUGGGCAUGUGGAAGGUAAGUCGGUUCUGAGCCAGUAUGUGAUGACCCAAACCAUUGUUUGGUUGAGAGGGAUGAGAAUGGAAAGAGAGUCACUCUCAACUUGUAUGGUUUUCAUUCCCUGCAAUUUAUAAUCUUCUAGUUUCUUCAUUUUCCCUUUCUACACAUUUUAUGUAGGGGGAAUCACACAAUAUGCAGCUUUUUAUCUGACUUCUUUUGCCUAGCAGGUUUUCAUGUUUAUCUACAGUGUAGCAUGGACUUUGAACCAUAGCAUGCACAUUGUACCAUGAACAUACUGCUUAUUCAGUCGUAUCUUUGAUGGAUACUGGCUCUUCUGAAUAAUGACCAGGGCUCUCGAUGUUUGUGAAUACAUUUCAUAUGUUCAGAUUAUUUCUCUUAUUUUUAUAUCUAGAAGUAGAAGGGCUGGGGUAUAGGGUAAUUUUAUGGUAGCCAUUUUUUGUAAUUAUUUAUGUUAUGUAUAUGAGUACACUGUAGCUGUCUUCAGAUACAUCAGAAGAGGACAUCAAAUCCCACUACCGAUUGUUGUGAGCCACCAUGUGGUUGCUAGAAAUUGAACUCAGGACCUCUGCAAGAGCAGUCAGUGUUCUUAACCACUGAGCCAUCUCUCCAACUCUUAUGUUAGGCAUUUUAAAAAAUUGUUAUUCUACUUUCCAAAUCAUUGAGCUAAUUUAUAUUCUCAUCAGCAAGGUAUAAAGUAUGAGGGCUCUAUUGCACAUUUUCUCCACUGUGUUAUUUUCUUUUUAAAAUUACAGAUAAUUUUUAAAGCUGUGUGUGUGUGUGUGUGUGUGUGUGUGUGCGCGCGCGCACGUGCGCGUGCGCACGUGUAUUCACGUGUGCACACAUCCAUGCAGGUGUCUCUAUAGUACAGAAGAGGCCAUUGGACCCCCUGGAGCUGGAAUUGCAUAUCAUUAUGAGGCACCUUAUCUGGGUUCUAGGAACUACAUGAGUUAUUUCUAAGAGGACCUCUAACUGCUGAGCCAUCUCUCCAGCCUUAACUCCCAAAGCUUCAUGUUUAUCAUAUAAACAAGGUGGAAAAUUAACCUAAUUGUGUUUAUCCAGGACUUUUGGGAAGCAAUUAAACUAUGUCCUAUGAUAUUAGGUUGGAGGCCCUGUACUUGAAUUCCAAUAGAUUUAUAUGUUGACAGUACAAAGAUACAUAUUGGCAUACUCACGCUCCUCCUGUGCUAUUGUCAGGAAACAGGUAAUGUCACCCCCUCCUAAGUCAGACUAUUUAGAUGUCUACACUCAUCACUCAUAAAAAGGUUUCUUACUGUACUAGAGAAAAUAAACAAUAAGUUUCUCUAUAUCUAAAGACACCUGCCUCUGGUAUUUCAUUGCAGUAAUAAAAAACUGACUAAUACAUUUUUCCCUUCUGUUUUCCUCGAGUUCUUCAUCUCACUUUAUGGUCACGACAAGCAGUACCCAGAAAUCCACCCUCCUUUUUUGACAUGACACAUGAAUACGGUUCACAGCUUCUCUCAGACGCAACAAAUGCACAUGUCACCAUUGAUAUUUUUCCCACUGCAGCAAAUCCACCAAAAUAGGACUUCCCUCACCCACUCUGCUAGUCACUUCCCUAUCUAUUACUGUGAAGAGGCACCUGACAGAAACUAUUAAAAGGGAUGACAUAUUUACCUUGGUCCAUGGUAAACUAUUACCUGCAGUGGAUUGAGGCUAAGAGCCAGCAAGCCACCUUAGAGCUGUCUGUCUCACUCCUUCUUCCAGUGUUGAAGUUGCAGCUACAUGCUGCUACUCUCAGCUUUUACAUGAGUGCUGGUGACAAACUCAAGGAAUAAUGCUUUCACUGCAGACUUUACCCACUGAGUCAUCUCCUUGGGCUCUGGGCUUACUUUCUGGGUGGUAUUACAAGGCUAGUCUAUCUCAUUGUUUAUUCUAUGAUUCUCUAUAUCCACAAACAUACCAAUAUAUAUGGCUUAUAAAAGAACUUAUUAAAUAAGCUACUUAGUAGUAUCUAUUGGUGAUUAAAGCCCAUGUUCUCUCUUAUUCUUAGGCUUUGUCUUCUUGACAAUAUGUUGUACAUUUUUAUUUUCUUAUUUUGGUGUGUGUGUGUGUGUGUGUGUGUGUGUGUGUGUGCUCACACACAUGUGCACACACACUUAGGUCCUACAUGGAUGUUGCCAGUGAAUUGGUUCUCUCUUGACAUCUUAUGAGAUCCAGGAACUUAGGUUAUCAAGUCUUCAUGCAAAUACCUCUGCCUGCCGAACUACCUCAUUGGCCCAGCUUACAUAUUUUAGAGCAGGCAUUCUCAUUCUUUGGAUCCUCAGAAACUGAUAUGGAGGUCUAAAAGGUUUGAUUACUACUCAUUCAGAAGUUGGCCCUUGGCUCUGUAUAUGAGGAUGACCUCAUUUGAAUUAUAUGAAUUAUCUGUAUAACUCAAACUAUAUGAAUUUAUGAAAAGCUCCUAAGGCUGGCCUGGAACUUGGCAAUACACACUGCCUUAAAAAUCACAGAUCUGGAGUAGGUGUGCAGGGAUGUGUCUGAAUGGAUAAUUAAUCUUUGUUCUCCUUGGGGAUCCCAAAUUCCUUCAGAUCAAUGGAGCCAAGAGGUGGCAUUUCAGCAAAUAGCCAAUAGUGUUUUUUAUGCCUCUCCUGAGGAGGUGGUAUGAAAUGGUGUUCCCUUAAGUAUCACAGAAAGAAACAUUUCAAGGUAUAAAAGCAGCUUAACAAAGGAAACAAGCAGAGCUCUAUGUUCAUACAAUGCCUUUCAGAAAUGGGGGAGAGCCAUUUGCCAAUCAAAAUAUAUUCUCUGCUUCAGGAAGUGAAAAGUAAGGAAGGAGAGAAACAGGUCAAUAAAGUUCAAGGAUUGGAAAUCCCCAUGGACAGACUAAGUGGCCCUGGACUGAAAGCAUCCUCUAAGUGGACACCUUCAAGCUAAGGGCAGGUGCAUGAGUUUGAAUUGUAUUACCUGUGACUUUAGAGCUCAAGUUGAUUUUUGAAUCUACAGUAACUGACUGACCACUCUAGGAAAGUAGACAGGCAAGAGAGUAAAAGAUAACAGUUAGAAGUGCCUUAAUUUGAAGCAAAAUGUUUGUACCUAACCCCAAUGACAUAUUUAACACAGCCAAAGUCUUAAUUGUUAACAUUUAUGUGUACCAGUGUCUUCCCUGAAUGUAUGUAUGUAUAUCAUUGUAUCAUGUGCAUUUGAAUUUAGAAGAACGAACCCCUAGAAGUUAGGGAUGGUUAUGGGCCAUAAAGAGGGUGUUGGGAAUUGGACCCAGAUCCUCUGCUACAACAAGAGACUCUUUCCAGACAAGUUGUUGCUUGAAUGAACACACCCUCACUAGGAUCAUAUAUUGGCAGGCUUAGUUUCUAGUUAAUGAACUGUUUGGGAAGUAUUUGAUGUGUUCUUGUUAAAAUAUAUUUGGUUUUUUUUUGAAGGAGAUGUGUUGCUGUGGAUGGCUUUGAAGAUUUAAAAGCCCACACCAGGCCAAUUGUCCUGUUCUACUUGAUCCACAAGAGGAUCAGGAUGUAAAGUUCUCAGUUAGUACUCCAGUACCAUGCCCACUUCCCAACAUGAUAAUGGACUAACGCUCUAAAGCUGUAAGCAAGCUCCAAUGAAAUGCUUUCUUUUGUAAGAGUUGUUUUAGUCAUGGUAUCUCUUCAUAGUAAUAGAACACCAAGACAAGUCCACAACUAAAGACUUUUGAGUCAUGAGAAACUUCUGGAUUUUAUCAGUGUUUGCUAUUUGGCCUGAUCUUGCUCAUAAUCAUUUGUUAUUGUUUGGUGCUCUAUCAUUAUAAAGAACAUAUAGCUACCAUAUAUAUUUAUAUUGGAUUAGAUCAACAAGUGGGUGAAGUGGGGAAAAGGCAAUGUCAGUCACCUUGACUUGUAUAGACAUAUAUGCCAUUGAAUCUCAUACACUGGUGCAUACAUUAAAACAGCUGAGAAACUCGAAGUACAGGGCUCAAAGGUGUACAGAAUUCUGUAUCAAAGGAUGCUCGUCUCCAAAUUUAAGAACUUUGUUGAUUUUUACAUUUGGGAAUGCAUGUGCAUAGACAUCAGAGGUCAUUUUAUGGGAGGUACUACUGCUCCCCUUCUACUAUAUGGGGAUUGGACUCAAGUAGGCUUGGCAGCAAGUACCUUUGUGCAUGGAGCCCUCUCUCUAGUCCCCAGAAAGACCAUUAGACAAUAUGUACAAGCGAGAAACUUGAGAAGCUAGAGCUUCAGUGUAGGACUUAGGGCUGAGCAUUCUCCAGGUUUCAUUUUUGAAUUUAAUGUUUUUAAGUACAAUCUCUCCCUGUCUCUCCCUCCUUCACUUCCUCCCUCUGUCUGUCACGUGUGUGCAUGUGUGUGUGUGUGCGUGUGUGUGUGUGUCAGAGAGAAAGAGAGAGACAGAGACAGAGACAGAGACAGUGACAGAAGAGAGACAAAGGGGUGUGUGUUACCAGUGUGGUGGUGAGUGAACAACUUUCAGGAGUUAAUUCUUUUUCAAGCAUGUAUGUCCUGGGGAUCAAAUUCAGGUAGUCUGGCCAAGAAACAGGCUUUACUCAUUGGGCUAUCACUCUUCCCUUCAGUUUCCUAUUUGCAUUGUGUAAAUCUCUCAGGGAGGGAAUCUGGAUUGUGAUCCCCAGUUUUUAUCCUUCUAUCAUAGUCAGUAAGGGAAAAAUCUCAGUAUUAUGACAAGGCCUUGCUUGCAAAGAUCAACUUCAUUCAUGUAACUUUUCUGUUCAAUCAAUAUUCUAUUCCCCCCACCCCCAUUGGCAGAUGGCAUCAAAGCAAGAAACGUGGAGCAAAGUGCCAAAGGAAAAGGCAGGUGAGUUUAAAAGGAAAGAAAAAAGAAAUAGCAUUGUAAAACUGUAUAUGAUACCACAGUUGGAAAGAUACCUUUAAACAUCAAAAGUUAUGCUCUCAUUAAACAGAUGAAAAAGUGAAAAUGGUUUGUCUAUCAGCAGUGGGAAAAGCAGAGCCUGGGCAGCAAGUGGUAAUCCGUGCAUCAGGCUGGUACGUGCCCUGGAGAUAGUGCUCAGCGUGUGUCAGCGAAGGGGGCAGCAGAAGAAUCAGCUUUCAGCACAAGCCUACACACUUGCUCUCUAUAACACUUGGCCGCUGUGGAAUAUUGCAAUGCUGACCUAAAGGUCUCCCUAUGGUCACCUAGGCCAUGUAAGCCCAAGACUACCAAGGCUAAUUCCCUCAAGGAGAUCUUCUACAGCUGCUCAGUGCAGAUGUCUCCCAGAUUUCUCUACCUUUGAUAUGAUGAUAGCGUAGUCUCGGUUGACUCCAGAUUCUGGAUGGGGACUAUUCAUUAGAAAGAUCAAUCGUCUGACAGUCAUGGUGUUAAUAUGCCCUUAAACCCAGCAGAGGGAUUUUGAUGAGUUUUAGUCCAGUCUGGUCUAUAUAUUGACUUCCAAGACAGCCAGUAUCAUAUAGACAAACUAUAAUUAACUAAAAAAAAAAAAACCAAACAAACAAAACCACACAAAUCAAAUAAGCAAACAAAGACCAAUCAAAGGAUCAGGAGCCUAGAACUAGGGAAGAAGAAUGGAGACAGAACUAAACAGUGUGGCUAGCUAUUUAAUCACUUUUAUGUGAGAAAACUUUGGUACAAACUCUGGAUACCAAGUACCUAUAGAGCUUUCUAGUUAGUCAACUGACUUUUAGAUGGACCAUCCCGGGGUCAUGGAUAUAUCCAGAUCUCAUUAAUAGCCUAUAAAAAGUUUCACAUUUCUAUUCUGUACUGGUCUUUCCUCUGAUCUUACUCAUUUGAAUUGUUUUGAGGGUGUGUGUGUGUGUGUGUGUGUGUGUGUGUGUGUGUGUGUGUGUGUCUGUGUCUGUGUGUGUCUGUGUUCAGGCAGGUCUCAUCAUACAGUACAUGGUAGUCUUCAACUUGGGAUUUUCUUGACUCAACUUUCUAGGUGUUGCGAUGACAGGUGCUACUUCUAUAAUGUGCAUAGAAUCAAUUUACUUAUUUAUAUAUUUUUAUUCUGGGUUUCCUUGUUUAGUCUGAUUGGAUGUCUGGAUACCACAUGUAUCCUGGGUGCCUGUAGAACUCAGACGAUGGCAUUAGAUUCCCUUGAACUGUGGUUGCAGAGCUCUUGUGAGUUACAGUUUAUGAGCUCAGCGUUAAAUGAGUGUCCUCUAGAAGAGGAGCCAGUGCUCUUACCUGUUGAGCCCUACUCCUUGCCUCAAAUCAAGUUGUAAAUAUUUCAAUUUUCAGUGAGUUCUUGGAGUUGUUAAGUUCUACCAAAUGUUUCAGUUGAGGUCAUUGUGAUAACGGCAACAUUUUCACACAGUUUUUAUGGAAAUAAAAAUUAAGACAGCGUUAGUUUCCUGAAGAGAAAGCAAAACUUAUCUGUGUGUUUUGGAGACUGAUUUGAUAGGCUGGGCUAUAGUUUAUGUCAGAGGUGCCACUGCAACCUCUGCCUUCCAGACAUUAAAAGCUUCUGUAAAAACCUGCUUACAGAACCCCAGGCUAUGACUGUUCCUCCUCUGAGGACUUCCUGAGUAAGACUUACUGUUUACCAACAACCCUCUCAUAAUUCUUUCUAGCAAUCAAUUGUUUUUAUGUAUGAACUGAGCUGUGCCACCAAUCUUUCAUUCUAAACAAUGCACACGACUAACUGUGCAACUCACCAGAUACCUGGAAAUUACUGUUAUUUUUCCUCACCCCUUUCAUUGUCCUCCCUUUUCUUUUUUUUUUUUUUUUUUUUUUUUUUGGUUCUUUUUUUUUUUUUCGGAGCUGGGGACCGAACCCAGGGCCUUGCGCUUCCUAGGUAAGCGCUCUACCACUGAGCUAAAUCCCCAGCCCCUGUCCUCCCUUUUCUUGUAAGAAACUCAUUCCUCUUUCUUCUUGAUGAAACUUAUUUGUAGUUGAGUUUGUGUCUUUUUUAAAUGAAAAUAGCAUUUCCCCUUAUUUUAAUGUCAUGUAAGAAUUAUCGAGCUAAUAAAUGGGUUAUGUGUAUGAAUGACAUUGAGAUCUUCUGUCGAUUCUAUGUAUUUUACUUAUUAGUAUUGUUACUGUGUGUGAUGUGUAUGUGUGUGUGUGUGCAUGAGCACAUGUGUGUGCAGGUCAGACGUUGACUCUGUGAGAUGGUAAUCUCAUCAACAACUAUGAGAUUCAACAGGUGUAUCAGGUUUGCACAGAGUUUGUGUUCACUGGGCCCAAUUAGGUAACCAGCCUAGCCUGCAGCAUUCUUCACAAAGAAUUUUUGUCUCAACUUGUGUCUAUUCUAAAAUUAGUAUAAAAAUAGGGCUUCAAUCUUGCAAUUGAAGGGGAAAUAAUGUAUGUUAGGAUUUAUAAACAGCCACGCUAAUGUACAGUUGGCUUGAAACUAUUUUUCCCUGGAUCAUAGAAAAAUCAACAAGUUGUAUGAAAAAUACAUUCACUGAGAAUAGCCUCCCCUCUCUUUCUUUGUCCCAGUCUCUUCUUCCCUUUCUCCUUCUUCUUCCUUCUUUAUUACCUUUUAAAGAAAAAAUUCUCAACAUGAAUUGCCUACAGUUUUCUCAUCUAUUAUCAAGUUAGGAUUUAACAUCCUAAUAAUAUUGCUGAUGAGAAAUGAAAAACAGGUCAAAUAAAAUUUAUACCAGAGAAGCAUAUGGCACCCAAUUUAGACUAUCAAUUAUUAAUUUAAAAAUAAAAGGAAAAUGAAUUUAAAUAAAUUCAUUCUCUUUGUUGAUUGUUAUGAAAGGCCAUAAUGGUUAUUCAUGCAUUUUUUCUUUAACUGAUUAGUUUUACUUGAGAACCAAACUGUAUUUUUAUUCCCUCUGCCCUAGACAUUAUGUACCUGACUUCCCUGAACUUCCUACAUUCUCCCUCCCACCUUCUACUUAUCACUUCUUAUUUUCUCUUUCAUAUCUCUCCUCCCCUAUACUCCUCUUUCUUUACUCCCCUCCUAAAUCUUCAUAAACAGAAUAAUGGACUCAAAUUCUCUGCAGAGUUACUGAGAAAACUAAGUUCAGGUUCUGUUCUAAUUCACCAGUUAUUAAUUAACAAUAUCAACAACUCCUUUUUCAUUAUAGAUAACACAUUUUAAUGAUUACUUUUUAAAAAAGGAUUGAUCUCAAAGGCCUUUUCCUAUUAUCUACUGUAAUAAUAAAAAAUAUCACUCAGCCACCAUUUUAAUGACUGAUCAUUCUCCCCUCACUAAAAUUAAAUCAUAAAAGCUUUUAAUUAAAUUGAAUGGUAUCUAAAUGACUUUAAUCAUGCAAAGGAUUAAAAUGAAGGAUGCAUUUUUCUCCUACAUUGACAACAUGUAAUGACCAGGCUUGACCAUUGUUAUCAAUCCUGACCAUAAGCAGGUUGAUGACUUCCUCCUCUUGGGGCAUCACUAACAAAAGACCUACUAUUGAAACAGCACAUUUUGCUUCUUUUACUUUGGGAGAGGGUUCAACCAAAUCAACACCUCUGCAAGUCAUAGGGAGAGGUUCUUAGGAAGUAUGAAGAUAAACCCAUGACCUGCGAUAUCUUAACAGUUUAAAGUCCUUACUAAUUUUCAGGAUGACUUGAGUUUAGAUUCUAGAACCCACAUCAAGAAGCUCAGAAUGCCCUGGAACUCCAAUUCAGGGGACACAACGCCCUCUUCUAGCUUGAAUGGGCACUCCUACAUACAAUACGCAUACAGAGACAUAUACACACAAAUACACCAUAUUGCAAACUUAGGUACAAUAAAGAGGUUCUACCCUCCUAGACUUCUGUUUCUUAAAAAAAAAGACAAUAAUUCUUUGAGAAUUUCAUAUAAUACAGGUUGAUUAUAUUCAUCCAUAUUCCUCUUACCAACUUCCCCCAAAUUAACUCCUCCUUUUUGUUUCUUAGAAGUCACUAUCUUGGGCUGGAGAGGUGGCUCAGAGGUUAAGAGCACUGACUGCUCUUCAAGUGGUCCUGAGUUCAAAUUCCAGCAACCACAUGGUGGCUCGCAACCAUAUGUUAUGAGAUCUGAUGCCCUCUUCUCGUGUGUCUGAAGACAGCUACAGUGUAUUUAUAAAUAAAUUAAAAAAAAGAAGUCACCAUCUUAAUUAGACUAUCCAUUUAUAUUUAAAUUUUAUUCCAUGUACUUAUUUUAUGUAAGUAUAUGUAGGUGUAUGUGUCAUGGUUAAUGUGAUGCCAUCAAAGAAGAACUCCAGAGCUGGUGCUCUGCUUCUAUAUGUGAACCUUAGGGAUCAAACUUCUGUGUUACCCUUGGUGGCAUGCUAAUUUAUCUGCUGAGCCAGCUCAACAGCCCUGACUCUACCUUUCAAACAAAUGGCUUAGCACAAAGUUGUCCUGUAGCUUUCCUCAGUGUACUUAAUAAACACAAAUUCAAACUAUCAAGUUAAACUUAAGAACCAGAUAAUUUGGAUAACUAUUUAGUAUAAGCAUGGUUCAAUAUUGUGUACUCGAAACAAUUAGUACUAAUAUGAGAUUCAAUACCACUAUCUUGAAAUCUCUAUUUGUAUAUGAACAGACAUGGAGAUGUUUACAGCUAGCAAGAUGAAGUUGAAGAGAGAGAGUACAGAAAGGGGAGAAGACGGCAAGCAUUGUAAUUUCCCUUUUCUGCCUUUUUCCUCAGCCUGACUCCUAACAUAUGGAGCCUGUAUGGCCCAAAGCUAUCAGAUUCUAGGCCUGAGAUUUACAAAUACUACUGAUGUCCCUUGGAUAAAACACACAAACAGGGAUUGAAAUAAAAAUAUUUGGCCUUUGGAAAUCACAUCUUGAAAAUGUAGUCAGUUCUGUAAUUAAAUCCUAAAUCAUUUGAUGCCAUCAGUUUGGUAGCAGAUGGGAUGGUGUUUUGUUCAUCUUUCAUCCACGGACUGAGUUUCCAGAAAUCCUUAGCAGGGCAUUUCCAGAUUAUUGCCUGAGUGACAGUUACAUGUGUCUAAUAAUUUACUAGAGUCAAUGGAUUUCUUUAAAAUGAAUUCAGCGAGCAGUUAUUUAUGUAGAUAUGAAUAAUACAUUCAUAAAGGAAAGAGGAGCAGUUGGGAAAUACUUUUUCAAAUGAUGUAUCACAGUAAUGAUAAGUAAUUAUACACCAACAUACUGCUUGCUGAUAAGAUUUAACUAGCAUUAUUUUGAAAUAGCAAGGCUGUGAUUCAUAUGCUAGUGGACUCCUAUCUAAAGGGACGGUCUUCCACUACUGGCCAGGGAACAUUCACUGAGGUCCCGUGAUAGGCCAGUCAGAUUUAAAACAUUUGCCAGGGGAGAUCCUCCAAAGCUUUGAGCUUUCUUCUUUUAAUUUAAUUCUUACAUGAAAAAUUUCUCCCAGAAACAGAUGCAAUGUGCCGAUAAAGCCUGAGUUAUUGACAAUUCAAAGCAGCCAUUGGAAGAAAUUUGCCCUCAUGUUCUUACUGUAUCUGAAAGGAAAGCGAGACUUUGAAGACAAAGUUUUGCCUGAGAGAUCUUGUCCAUCUUGUUGGCUAUAGCACAUUGUUGAACCUAAGCAGGGUGGGGUUGGGUGUUCUAGUUUCAUUUCUGUUGGUGUGACUAAAUGCACUAACAACAACUUGGGGAGAAAAAUUUUGAGUUUAUCUUUUGCUGGCAUUGUUUUAACCUCACAAUUCCAGCGUAGGGUAAAUCACUGUGAGGAAGUCAAGGUAGGGUUUUGGAACAGUUAGCCAAAUCACAUGCACAGUCAAGAGUAGAGAACAAUGCAUGCAUGUUUAGUACUUAGCUAUCUUUUUCUAUUCUUAUGCAGUCCAGAACUCCAAAGCAGGGAAUGGUGCUGCUAAUGUCCAGUCUGGGUUUCCUCAUGCCAAUUAACGAAACCAAGAUAAUCUCCCAAAUCAGGCAUGCUUAUAGAUCAAUACAAUGUCAACAGCCCCUUAUGGAGACUUUCUUCCUAGGCGAUUCUAGGUUGUGUCAUGUUGGCAUUUGCAACUAACCAUCAUAAAGAAAUCUUGGCAUUUCAGUAUUAACUGGCAUGACACCAGUACCAUACACUUUAUAAACACAUCUCUCUAUUUCACGGGAGCCAGAGGAGAGAGAUGCUCUCUAUUUUUUCAUGAUAUGAUGUUUUCCCAGAUUUAGUCUUCUCAUCCUAUAGAAACCCAAUAUUCCACUGACAGAAAAGAGUCUUUAUCAUCAAAGAGUCGUUUGACUUUAUAGGAGAGAUUUGGAUUUCAAAAUUAUUUAGGAACAUGAUAUUUUUUUUACGGGGAAGGUUGGACUUAUAUUUUCAGAGAUAAUCCUCACUAGGAGUGACUUCCAAAGUUCCCUUUUGCCCUGAACUUCCAUAGUAGCUGUCAAUCUUAAACUGUCAGUCUUAUAAAUAGACACCUGAAUGUGUUAGAGAACCCAGAAAAUACUUAGUUAAUCCUUUGGAGAGUAGAUAUGUCUGCUAUGUGAAUAUCUCUUCCAAAGUUUAUCUGAGUGUUCAAUUUAUUGUAAAUUACAUAUUCUUAAGGGAAGUCUAUGGUGUUUGUUUACCUGUACACAGCUGAGUUGUUUAAGACUGUAGUUAUCUGAAUUGAAGUGUGUGAUACUCCAAAAAUUAUAGUACAGAGGUAUGCCAAUUUUCGUCUGGCUCAAAAACAGUGAUUUGGAAGAGACUGUCACAUAAGUCAGAGCAAAAUUUCGGAGGCUCUGCUAAAACAUAACUGAAGCCUGACUGAAUUCUGUCCCAACAUUUUUCUUCAUCACAUUAACACUGUGGUCUGGGAUUCAUUCAGUGUCUUAAUAAGCUCUGGUGAAAAAAAUAGGUGAUUGAGCUCUUCAUUCUAUCAGCAGGAAGGUAUGUGGAGAAAAUAGUAUCUUUUCUAUAUUCUGAGCCAUUUUGGGGGCUAAGAGGGUGUCGAGACAGGGUAUCACUAUGUAGUCCCAGCAGACCUGGAACUUACUCUUUUGAUCAGAGCUCCCUCAGAUUCAGAGAUCUGCCUGCCUCUGCCUCUCUUGUGCUGGGAUUAAAGGUACCACUACCACCACUGACUGGCUAAAAUGUGUAGGCCAGGCCAGAACUCAUGAUCCUCCAGCCUCCACACCUUUCAGAAAAUCCUACUAGCGCGUACUACCAUAACUAGCCUGAGCCAGUUUAGUGCCUAUAGUAUACAUGAUAGGUAAGAAACUGAAAAGCACAAAGAAAACCACAACAAACAAAAAUGAGAAAGCCUAGCCUAAUAGUUUGGAGAAGGCAAAGAGAUCUAGGAGGAAUAGAAACAGAGGGGUUCAUGGUACCUGAACAGGAAGAAUAAAGAAUGAAGAUGGAUUGUGGACCCAGUAGGAAGGGUGAGUAUCUGAUUCAUGGUUUCUCUGGAAGACAUCACUUUCCUGUCAAUAUUAGUUAUAUUAGUCAAAGUGAUACACUUGGGUCUUACAUUUCACAGUCAAUUUUGCAAGGCUUGGUUUAUGGGCCUGAUGAAAGCAUCAGGGCAACCCUUGGCUUCUUGGGUAAUGAAUCUGGCUAAGCGAGUCAAAACUUCCCUUGUUGCUAACAAUGUUAAUUCAAACGCAGCUCACAGGACUCUAAGAAAAUCUGACAGGAAUAUUUUACUUCAAGUUGAUAUUUGAAUACCUCAUAAAGAACAUUGUUAAUUAGUUUUAAAUGUUUUAAUUAUAAUAAAUUAAUAUAAAAAUACAAGUGGGAAAAGUACCAAUAGUCACCAUAUGCUUGAUAAAAAGAUUGCCCAUAAUUAUCUGAUUGCCAUGUAUGUAUAUGCAUGUUCAUGUGUGUUCAUGUGUGUUCAUGUGUAUGUAUGUGCAUGAAUGUGUAUGUAUGUGUGUGUCUAUGUAUGUGCUGGUGCAUGAGUCUUGAUGUGCCUAUGUACAUGUGUGUACAGAUACAUGAGUGUGUAUGUUCAGGCAUGUGUGUGUAUGUGUAUUUAUGCAUACAUGUCAUUUCUCAGGCCCCAUCUACUUUUUUAUUUUUAUUUUUAAAUUUUGAGACAGGUUCCUUCAUUGGUCUUGAACUGGCCAAGUAGACCAGGCUGGCUGGCCAAUGAUAUCCAAAGACCUGUCCACCUUUGCUUUCCCUUACAAAACUCAAAUUAUAAGCACAUUCCAUCAUGACUGGCUUUUCUUAAAAUGUGAGUUGUGAUGAUCAAAAUUAUUCUCCUGCACUUUAUCUGCUGAGCUAUUUUCCUAGCCCAAGAAUUUUCCUUUAUGAAUAGAAGGCCAUUGAGGAGCACACAGGCAUACAGUACUUAUACACAAGCCCAUUUGUGAUGUUAAAAAGGAUGGAGAUACCAUAAUGAAGUUGAAUGAAUUUGGAAUGGAAGGAAAGAAAUCCUACUUCCAUUUGUCUGAAUGAUAAAGAACAAUACUGAAAAAUAUCUAAGUAACAUGAUAAAAGCUUGAGUUCCAGCACAGCGAAGAAGUGAUGGAACUUGCUAACGUCUGAGUGUGCAUUGCAUUUGUGAGGUCUUACUGAGUCUGCUACUCAUAUUUCCAUCACUGCUCAACAUGAGUACAUGACGUGGUUUGAGAGAUCAUAUCAACUCAUAUGUUUGAAUACUUGGUUCCAGUUGAUAAACUAUUGGGGAAAAAUUAGAAGCUAUGGCCUUCUUGGAGGAGGUGCGUCACUGGAAGUCGAUUUUAAGGUUUCCAGAGACUUGUCACACUUUUGAGGGUGCUCUCUGCCUCCUGCUAGUGGAUCAGAUAAGAGUUCUCAGCUGCUGCUUUGGCCACCUGUACCUUAAUUUUACCCUCUCUCAUAGAUUCUAAUCCUGUGGAAACAUAAGCCCAACUGUUAUAAGUUGCCUUGGCCAUUGUGUUUUAUCACAGGAAUAGAAAAAUAACUAGUACACCCAUUAAAAUCAACUUUUUACAUUUUCAGUCAAUGCCUGCUUUGGAUUUUGGUGACUUGGUAUAUUAUGAUCAAAUGCACAUCAGAGGAUGAAUAUGGGUUCAAAAAACGAAAAUGAGUGAACAUGUUCUGAUAUUCCCUUCAAGGGCACAUACCCAAUAAACUGUCUUGUAUUACUUUCAAACCCCUAAAGGUUUUACUAAUUCCCAACAGCACCACAUCAGAUCCAGGCAUUUAAUGCAUAGUCCACCAUUCAAGAGCCAAAUAAUGUUGCUGACUUAACCAGGCAGUGGUUUCUUACACUACUGCUUUUCACCACCUCACUCCCAGGAGUACACUUAGCUACUUAAAACCAUUCUUGGAAACCCAUCAUUUUCAAGGAAAGUGUUAGAGCCUAGAACCCCUGCAUUCCAAGCAACCUUACUGGUUUUCUUAUCAGUGUUUGGCCCUAGACUAGUAUAGUAGUCACUGGUGACCAUAAAAAGGCUAGAAAAUGGAUUUUUUAUUGUGAUAUUCUGGCCUUCUAAGGAUUGUCAUCUGUAUCCUGUACCAAUGAUUCAGAGAACAAUAAAUACACCUAAUGGACCUGAAUGAAAUUAAAUCUUUCUCCAGUGAUUUAUAAGACAGCAUGGGAUUAUUCUUGGGAAUAUAAAUUUUCAUUUUAUAGGAAUUGAGAUGGCAGAGUACGUGUAAGAAAUUAGAAUCUUUCUGAGAUUUAUCUUUCUACAGCUUCUGAAUUUUGUUCUUGUCAUUUGAAAAUGGGAGGUUUUGACUCUAAUUGGAGGUUGAGUUCUAAAUAAGGAUCUGUAAGAAAACCUGGGAAAAAUCAGAUGGUCUGGGCCCAUUGGCAAGUCAUUUAACUUCUUGGUAGCAUGGCUUUGACAUUUUGAAAUCAAAAUGAUGUCAAGUAACACGAAAUCCAUAUCUGACAGGACCCUAACUUUUUAAAAUAUCACAAAAAGAAGCAGGAAUCGACUUAGCUAUCUUUAUCCCUGGUUGCAUUCCAUACCCGUCCACCUGAUGACCAAUCCUUUCUAUUUUGGGCUUUAAUUAAUUGAAAACUAUGCCAGAGUGUGCUUGCAUUUAGGAUUCAGGAUACUGUACACAGCCGUGUUUGCCAUAGGCACAAACAACCUUUACCACAAGGGCUGUCAUUACAACUCUCUCAGCAUUAGAAAAGCCCAGAAAAGCAAAUGUCAGAUAUUGGGUUGGGUUUGCACUGACCCCAGGAUCCUACAUGUUUCCCUGGGACAGGCAAUCCCCCAUUUUAGACAAUUGGAAACUCAGUCUGGUUUUAUGAGAAAGGAUCUGGUUAAGUGGUACACAAACUAGAGAUAACACUGACCUGAAGCAGAUACUCUGGUAAGUUUCUUCUUGUCACAAAAGGAAAUCAGACAACCUUUUGCCUCAUCCUUCUUGGAAUAUCUACCAGCUCAGCCUCCUGAUUCUGCCUGGUUUUCACCAAUUGCACCCAUUACCCAGAUUCUUCCUUCAGAUCUCUCACCAUCCUCAGAAGAGGUUGUGCGGUUCUAGAGGCCUUCAGCUUCCCCUGUUUUAUGCUGUCAUCAAAAUGCACACUAUCCUUCUUUACAUGUCAUUUCUGUCUAUGUACCAGGGUAACAAUCAUCCACAAGGGCUGAAGAAUCUCUCUGGGCAUUGCAAGCCUCAUGUCUUAAGCCAGAGCCUUAUUAGCAAAGUCUGCUUAAGUUGCUAUCUCAGUACCUUGCCCUAUAUCAGAUCUAAGACCUACUCUCUGUCAGUGUAUGCAAUAGCACUAGCUUCAUUAUGCUCCCUGAAAAAUGCAUGCAUUUCCAGUAUGAUGCUGCUAUGAUAUUAUGCUUUUAGAAAGUGAUUGAGCCUUGAGGAUUCCUUUUUCUGUGACUGCAAUCCAAAGUAUUAUAAAAUAAGCUUUCACAUAGCAUCUGGUUACUUUACCUUCUCCCUUCCACAUGGGGAGUACAUGACAGAAAGGGCUUUGCCAGAACAAAUACCCAAGAUAUCACCCUGGGCUUUACAUUCCCCAAACUCUGAGGAAUUAAUUCUUGUUGUUUAUAAAUUACCAUUACUCUAUUGCAGCAUCUUAAAUUCAAUACAGCCUUAUUCUCAGUUCUUUCUCAUUCCCUCUAUGUGUUUCCCUUUUCAUUCUCUCCCCUAAUGUCUAUUUUAUUUUCUGAAUGUGUUCAAAGACAACACAUUUGUUAAAGUUGUGCCAUCUACACUGCUCUUCUACGAAUUAGUGAGGAAUGAGGAGAAGUGUCAAUGAAGACUGUCAGAGACUGUGAGUGGUAUCAAGAAGUGAGCCUUUGGGAACAGUGUCCUAAGCCUUGGGUACCCUGCAGAAGACGACAGAGCUAGACAAAUAUUUCCUUCUUGAUCCUAAAAGGUAACAGAGGGCUUUGGAAAUAUCCCAAUCUGUGCUGGAGCACAUUUUAGAAUAUACACCUUCUCCCAUCCCCAUCCUCAUUCCGAACUGGGACACUGUUGAGAAAUUUAACCAUUAAACCUCUUUUUCUUGUUGUCUUUAACAUAACCCUGUUCUCUUUACUUCUUAGAAUUGAGCUCCAAAAGGGCCUUCUAAGGAAGGCAAAAACAUGAUAAAAGAUGUUGUGAAAUACAUCAAUUAGUCUCCAUGCAUUGUGAUUACAUGAGGAAGAGUUUGCUGCAGUGUCCUGUAAUGAGUCACUAAGCUUACAGCACACCUGGGUGCGGCAAAGCCACCAAGUAGGUACCGUGGGAGAAAAAUUGGCAAGAGGCAGGAGUACAGCUGUCGCUGGCCCACAGGCUUUGAAGAGACCACCCCCAUUCCUAGCCACCUACUACCAUCUGCUGCUCCACACAGGAAUCAAACACACAUUCCAGUGGAUGAUGCCACUGGACAAGAGCUUUAUGUGUGCCUACCCAAGCUAUUCACAUAACCACUUCCUAGGCAAGAGGGUCCCCCCACCCCCUGAGAGUGAUGGGGAUGUUAGUGGGAAGUAGCUGAGAUACAACACACAUGGUAUAAAAUAAUACCAGACACUACUCUUAGAAGAUGAGAUUAUUAAUAAGCCAGGAACCACGCUCCCCUAGGCAAAUUCUAUUACUGCUAUAUGACAUCUGGCUCCAGCUGCUUCAACACUAAUUUCUCAAAUGGGGAAACUGGAAUAAGUCCGCAGAGUUAUAUAAGACUGUCUUUGAGUUUCCAUUGCUGUGAAGAGACACCAUGACCAAGGUAACUUGUAUGAAGGAAAAUACUUAACAGGGACUAGCUUACAGUUUCAGAGAUUCAAUCCAUUAUUAACAUGUCAGGAAGAAUGGCAAGAGGCAGCAGACAUGGUACUGGAAUAGGCAGGGGUUCUACAUUUUGGUCUGAAGGCAGCCAAGAGGAGGAUCGCUUUAGCACUUGGCAGAUCUUGAGCAUAGAUACUCAAAGCCCUCUUCCCACAGUGACACACUUCCAAGAAGGUCAUGCCUCCUCCAAUAAUACCUCACCUCCUAAUAGUGCCACUUCCCUUGGGCCAAGCAUAUACAAUGUGCAACAUAACCAAUAUUCUGAGUUUGACACUUUGCC
This is a non-coding RNA of Rattus norvegicus (Norway rat), 36990 nucleotides long. Lineage: Eukaryota; Metazoa; Chordata; Mammalia; Rodentia; Muridae. The record is from RefSeq and is a predicted model, not a curated record.